UACGUAGGGUCCGAGCGUUGUCCGGAAUUAUUGGGCGUAAAGAGCUCGUAGGCGGUCUGUCGCGUCGGCUGUGAAAACUCAGGGCUCAACCCUGAGCCUGCAGUCGAUACGGGCAGACUAGAGUUCGGUAGGGGAGACUGGAAUUCCUGGUGUAGCGGUGAAAUGCGCAGAUAUCAGGAGGAACACCGAUGGCGAAGGCAGGUCUCUGGGCAUUAACUGACGCUGAGGAGCGAAAGCAUGGGGAGCGAACAGG
This 253-nucleotide ribosomal RNA is filed under the name uncultured bacterium. Its description in RNAcentral is "partial 16S ribosomal RNA". It matches the Rfam family "Bacterial small subunit ribosomal RNA", at positions 524 to 776 of the family's 1533-position model. The record is from RNAcentral.